ACGGCGAGACCGCGGACGGCUCAUUAAAUCAGUCGUGGUCCAAAUGGGCCAGUGCAAAUCCUACUUGGAUAACUGUGGUAAUUCCAGAGCUAAUACAUGCAACUGAUAUCCCGAAGGCGAUGGUUGUGCUUGCUUGUCUUGCGCUCUCACUGCUCUGACGGAUGCUUUUAUUAGACCAAACUGCUGAGGACUUGAGGGUUCGCCUUCUUGUCUGACUCGUGUAAUGGUGACUCUGGAUAACCAAUCUGACAAGCGCACGUACUUCUCUUCUGAGCGAGACGGCGCUGCCACUUUCGAGUGUCUGCCUUAUCAGCUAUCAACCGUUCGUUAUGCGCGACCGAUGGCUUUGACGGGUAACGGGGAAUCAGGGUUCGAUUCCGGAGAGGCAGCCUGAGAGACGGCUACCACGUCCAAGGACGGCAGCAGGCACGCAAAUUACCCAAUCCCAGCAAAUGGGGGAGGUAGUGACGAAAUCUAACGAUGCGGGCGCCCUUUCUGGGGCCCCGCAAUCGGAAUGGGCACUUUCUAAACAACCUGUUGAGAACCUACUGAAGGGCAAGUCUGGUGCCAGCAGCCGCGGUAAUUCCAGCUUCAGCAGCAUCUAUUAAAGUUGCUGCGGUUAAAAGGCUCGCAGUUGAAUGUCUGUAUCGAGCGCAGGUCAGGUGGACGUU
RNAcentral lists this ribosomal RNA (671 nucleotides) under Pseudomicruropus rotundatulus. Its description in RNAcentral is "bacterial SSU rRNA". It matches the Rfam family "Eukaryotic small subunit ribosomal RNA", at positions 78 to 670 of the family's 1831-position model. Lineage: Eukaryota; Metazoa; Arthropoda; Malacostraca; Amphipoda; Acanthogammaridae. The record is from RNAcentral.